UGGGGAAUAUUGCACAAUGGGCGCAAGCCUGAUGCAGCCAUGCCGCGUGUAUGAAGAAGGCCUUCGGGUUGUAAAGUACUUUCAGCGAGGAGGAAGGCGUUGUGGUUAAUAACCGCAACGAUUGACGUUACUCGCAGAAGAAGCACCGGCUAACUCCGUGCCAGCAGCCGGGGUAAUACGGAGGGUGCAAGCGUUAAUCGGAAUUACUGGGCGUAAAGCGCACGCAGGCGGUCUGUCAAGUCGGAUGUGAAAUCCCCGGGCUCAACCUGGGAACUGCAUCCGAAACUGGCAGGCUAGAGUCUUGUAGAGGGGGGUAGAAUUCCAGGUGUAGCGGUGAAAUGCGUAGAGAUCUGGAGGAAUACCGGUGGCGAAGGCGGCCCCCUGGACAAAGACUGACGCUCGGGUGCGAAAGCGUGGGGAGCAAACA
RNAcentral lists this ribosomal RNA (427 nucleotides) under uncultured bacterium. RNAcentral describes it as "partial 16S ribosomal RNA". It matches the Rfam family "Bacterial small subunit ribosomal RNA", at positions 355 to 774 of the family's 1533-position model. The record is from RNAcentral.